GAUGAACGCUGGCGGCGUGCCUAAUACAUGCAAGUCGAGCGAACAGACGAGGAGCUUGCUCCUCUGACGUUAGCGGCGGACGGGUGAGUAACACGUGUAUAACCUACCUAUCAGACUGGGAUAACUUCGGGAAACCGGGGCUAAUACCGGAUAAUAUAUUGAACCGUAUGGUUCAAUAGUGAAUGACGGCUUUGCUGUCACUUAUAGAUGGAUCUGCGCCGCAUUAGCUAGUUGGUAGGGUAACGGCUUACCAAGGCUACGAUGCGUAGCCGACCGGAGGGGGUGAUCGGCCACACUGGAGGUGAGACACGCACCAGGGUCCUGCGAGAGGGAGCAGUAGGGAAUGUUACGCAGUGGGCGAGAGCAUGACGGAGCGAGGCGGCGUCUGUGAUGAAGGUGUUCGGAUCGUAAAACUCUGUUAUGGGGGAAAAACAGAUGUGUAAGUAGCUAUGCACGUCUUGACGGUACCUGGUCAGAAAGCCACGGCUAACUACGUG
This 497-nucleotide ribosomal RNA is filed under the name uncultured bacterium. RNAcentral's name for it is "partial 16S ribosomal RNA". It matches the Rfam family "Bacterial small subunit ribosomal RNA", at positions 28 to 507 of the family's 1533-position model. The record is from RNAcentral.